UGGGGAAUAUUGCACAAUGGGCGCAAGCCUGAUGCAGCCAUGCCGCGUGUAUGAAGAAGGCCUUCGGGUUGUAAAGUACUUUCAGCGGGGAGGAAGGGAGUAAAGUUAAUACCUUUGCUCAUUGACGUUACCCGCAGAAGAAGCACCGGCUAACUCCGUGCCAGCAGCCGCGGUAAUACGGAGGGUGCAAGCGUUAAUCGGAAUUACUGGGCGUAAAGCGCACGCAGGCGGUCUGUCAAGUCGGAUGUGAAAUCCCCGGGCUCAACCUGGGAACUGCAUUCGAAACUGGCAGGCUAGAGUCUUGUAGAGGGGGGUAGAAUUACAGGUGUAGCGGUGAAAUGCGUAGAGAUCUGGAGGAAUACCGGUGGCGAAGGCGGCCACCUGGACAAAGACUGACGCUCAGGUGCGAAAGCGUGGGGAGCAAACAGG
Molecule: ribosomal RNA, 429 nt
Filed under: Chloroflexota bacterium
Lineage: Bacteria; Bacillati; Chloroflexota
Description: Chloroflexi bacterium partial 16S ribosomal RNA
Rfam family: Bacterial small subunit ribosomal RNA
Source: RNAcentral